This 70-nucleotide transfer RNA is filed under the name Astyanax mexicanus (Mexican tetra). RNAcentral describes it as "tRNA-Met". It matches the Rfam family "tRNA". From Rfam's summary of the family: Transfer RNA (tRNA) molecules are approximately 80 nucleotides in length. Their secondary structure includes four short double-helical elements and three loops (D, anti-codon, and T loops). RNAcentral also lists the same sequence under 3 other names. Lineage: Eukaryota; Metazoa; Chordata; Actinopteri; Characiformes; Acestrorhamphidae. The record is from RNAcentral.
GGUAGGAUAAGCUAACUAAAGCUAUUGGGCCCAUACCCCAAAAAUGAAGGUUAAAACCCCUCUCCUACUA